Molecule: ribosomal RNA, 896 nt
Filed under: Cladobotryum stereicola
Lineage: Eukaryota; Fungi; Ascomycota; Sordariomycetes; Hypocreales; Hypocreaceae
Description: LSU rRNA
Rfam family: Eukaryotic large subunit ribosomal RNA
Source: RNAcentral
GCAUAUCAAUAAGCGGAGGAAAAGAAACCAACAGGGAUUGCCCCAGUAACGGCGAAGUGAAGCGGCAACAGCUCAAAUUUGAAAUCUGGCCCCUCUCGGGGCCCGAGUUGUAAUUUGUAGAGGAUGCUUUUGGUGCGGCGCCAGCUGAGUUCCCUGGAACGGGACGCCAUAGAGGGUGAGAGCCCCGUCACGCUGGACGCCAAGCCUAUGUAAAGCUCCUUCGACGAGUCGAGUAGUUUGGGAAUGCUGCUCAAAUUGGGAGGUAUAUGUCUUCUAAAGCUAAAUACCGGCCAGAGACCGAUAGCGCACAAGUAGAGUGAUCGAAAGAUGAAAAGCACUUUGAAAAGAGAGUUAAACAGUACGUGAAAUUGUUGAAAGGGAAGCGCUCAUGACCAGACUUGGGCUUGGCGAAUCACCCGGCGUUCUCGCCGGUGCACUUCGCCUCGCCCAGGCCAGCAUCAGUUCGUCGCGGGGGACAAAAGCGCCGGGAACGUGGCUCCCCCGGGAGUGUUAUAGCCCGGCGCACAAUACCCUGCGGUGGACUGAGGUUCGCGCAUCUGCAAGGAUGCUGGCGUAAUGGUCAUCAGCGACCCGUCUUGAAACACGGACCAAGGAGUCGUCUUCGUAUGCGAGUGUUCGGGUGUCAAACCCCUACGCGUAAUGAAAGUGAACGCAGGUGAGAGCUUCGGCGCAUCAUCGACCGAUCCUGAUGUUCUCGGAUGGAUUUGAGUAAGAGCAUACGGGGCCGGACCCGAAAGAAGGUGAACUAUGCCUGUAUAGGGUGAAGCCAGAGGAAACUCUGGUGGAGGCUCGCAGCGGUUCUGACGUGCAAAUCGAUCGUCAAAUAUGGGCAUGGGGGGCGAAAGACUAAUCGAACCUUCUAGUAGCUGGUUUCC